UAAGGUUUUGGUUUCGAUUUAGGAUUGAAUUUGAUUCCGCCGUGGCAAAGAAAGACUGCGGCGGGUCAGCGGCGAGCCAACGACAGUGAGGGUUGUCAUUGUCAGUGAGGAGCGAGCUACAUUCGAGAGAGAAGUUUUAGAGUAACGAGUGAGUGUGGCCUUUACACUUGGGGGAAAAAGAGGUUGAAAGACUAAUAAAGG
Molecule: long non-coding RNA, 201 nt
Filed under: Citrus sinensis (sweet orange)
Lineage: Eukaryota; Viridiplantae; Streptophyta; Magnoliopsida; Sapindales; Rutaceae
Description: long non-coding RNA (CSIN_LNC003533)
Source: RNAcentral